GUGUGGGCAGGGAGAGGGAGGUGCUGGCAUGGGGGCGGGGCAUGACCGUGGGGAGGAGCUGGGGCGAGGCGCAGGCACGCUAGCUGCGAAUUAAAGGCCUUGGAGUUCCAGCCACCGCCUAUGCUCUGUCUCGUGGGGGCCCCGGUGGUGACGCCGACUCCCGGGGCUCCCGGGUCAGCCACGUUGGCGCCAACGUGGCUGAGGCGUCCCUGAAAUCCUGGUUGUGGGGCUUGGGUACUCCCGUCCCCAGCCUUGACCUGGCUUGGGGUCAUUCCAAAGCAUCAGGACCCUAAGGCUACAAGCAAAGGCUUCUGGGCCCAGAAACCUGAAGCCAACCAGCCACUUCUGAGACCGUGGGUCCCCCUGCCAGGGCGGUCUGCUCCUGCUGCCAUCACUCUUGUCCCGGGCACAUUGACUGCUGAGCCCUGGACCCUCCCCCGGCUCUUCUCUUUGGGAGCUGGAGCAGGGCUGAGCCAGCAUGGAAGCUCCUGUUCCUUGUCUGGUGCUCUGUCUCCUGUCUCAGGCACCGGAAGCCUUUUUGUGAUUGAACAUUUUCCAUCUGCUUCCACUGGGGCCCAGCCGCAAUCCAGUGAGGAUUCCUCCCUUAACAGGGACCACUGGCCCUCCUGGUGCCUUCAAAGGCUGCCGCCAGCUCCCUCUGCUACUUUUCACCUCCUUGGCCUCUUCGUACAUGUCUUUUAUAAUUUGCCCUAUCUGCCUCUGCCUGGGUCUUCUACUCUUGGCCUUCUGGUUUUUGACCUCUGUAGCUUCUAUUUUCCAUUCUUUAUUCCCCCCCCCCCCCCCCCGGGGGAGGAAUGGGCUCAGCCGCUUAUUAUCCAAGAUUUGCAGCUCGGCUCCCAAGAUAACAUUCACUUCUGUCAUCAACUGACCUUGAGGACAUCUGCUUGAGGGAGGCUGUUGAGGCUCCACCUGCUUCCAUGGAUCAAGCUCUAGGGGAGCUUGGACAGGAGACUGGACUGAGAAUAGUAAUGGCUGCCAGUUAAGCGGCUGCCUGCCAGGCGUGAGACCAAGUGCCGUGUAUGUAUGUCACUUCUACAUUCCAUAACUCUGAGCAGUGGAUUCCAUCCCAGUUCUGUAGAUGAGGAAACUGAGGCUGAGAGAGAAAUCCAAUAACUUAGCCAACAACCAGUGAGCUGGGGUUCAGGUCCAGGAAUUUUGUUGUGUAAAGAAUACUCCUCUUUCCAUGCACCCUGACAACUACUGACUGUCUAAUGCAUGUUACGAGGUAGGGCUGUCUAAAAAGAGUAAGACAGACUGUAAACUUGACCUUCAGGGGUGCUGAACCCAGCCGGAGAUGGCAAGUGGGGUGGGAGGUGGGUAAUCAGCGGCGUGCCAGAAAGCUGCUGACUAGCGGAGGCCCAGGCAGAACUUGGUUGUGUCUGGGAGGUCUCCGUGGGAUCUAGGGUUGGGUUGCUACGGGACUGGUUGAGUUAGAUGGCUCUUUCUUGAAAAGGCGACAAGGAAAGCUGUUUCCUCCGUUCAGCUUGUCUUCAGGGAUCUGGUCGCUCAGUCAGAAAUGGGAUUUCUCCGCUUGGCUCAGUGUAAGGGGCAAGGGGGACUUGUACCCAUAAAUCAGACUUGCUGCUCCCAGGAACGAGUUUUCUGAUGAGAGAGAGAGAGGCAGGAAAGACACUUACUACAAUGCUAUUGAGAGCGUGGGUCCCUUGGUGCAAGCUUAGCACAGAGUGGAUAUUUAUUUGCUUCCUGGGGCUUCAUGACCAGUGUGCCAGGACUUGAACCACUCAGAUCUGUUGAGUGAGCCAGAGGCUCAUUUAAAGACUUCACUCUGGCCUCUGAGGGACUCCGACGCCACGCUCUCCAGGAGAAACUGUUUCCCCUUUUCAUAGCACCAUGUGGAGGGUCAUGAUACCAAGGGCUCCGUGGGUCUCAGUCCACUUCUCCCUAGAGACCCAUCCAGAGGCCCACCAUUCUGGGACAAAGCUGUCGGGAACAUUUUAAGAGUGGAACUUGGCAAUUUAGAUAUUUGACAAGAGCAACUAAGACGGCAGAGGCAGCUGAGGUAUCUUGGAAGGGCCUAGAAUGUCAGGCCGAAGGGUGUUCGUGAUUUGGUGGGGGAGAGGCAGCUGGCCAGGCGGGGGGACGCCAGGGAAGGGCCUUCGUGUCUCUGGGAAUCCGCUCGGAUGUGGCCUGUUUCCUUCUGGCUUCUGCUCACACCUGACCGCCCAGCUGCUCGGUUCGGCUCGGGAGAGCCCCACCUGGGUGCUCACCGUUUACCUGCGCCUGCGCGGUCAAAAGAAGGGCGAGGGCGGAGGCGGGGAAUAUUCCGUGUGGGUUCCCCACCCGCUUCCUGUGCGGCCCGAAGGCAAGGCCCAGUCCGGUCGAAGGGGCUCAGGGCCCAGCUCGGUCUGGGGGCAUUUCUUCCCUUGCUGGGGUGACUCCGCGGGGUAGGGAGGCGGGACGCGUGCGAGGGUCUCGUAAGCGGGACAAGCUCACUGGGCGCCCUCACAGCAAGGAGGAUGGGUUCCGGAAUGUCCCGCCCCCACCCUUGCCCUUAGCCAAUCAGACGUCUGGACGGGGCAAGAGGCGGGCACCGGUGGACCCGGCCAAUCACGACCGUCUCUCUCACCCUUCCGCUCCCCGGGCCGCAAGAUUGCCAGGUAAUGGCCGGAAAUCUCCGCUUUGACAAUUUCCCUUUUUUUCUCUGCCACGCGUCGGGCUCAGAAGGGUCCAUCGACCGUGUGCUGGAUUACCGGCUUCGCCAACCCGCGAGACUUCACAGCCGGCCUGGGCUUACCGAGAUGCAAAGCCUCCUGCGGUCCUAGACUGGACGUGGACAGAGGGCUGAGGGCCUGGGCCAGAGCCACUUCCGGCUUGGCGCCCUCAGUCCUCUCGUCUCGUUGCUGGCUGGAGACUCCGGGACCCCGAACCCAGCAGGCACCUACGACCCCUGCACUGGAGCUCGGUGGCCGCCUGCGCUCCUCCCGCCGGCCGGCGCUCUAGCACCUUCCAAGCCUUGGAGCAGGGCUUGACGGUGCUGCCAGGGAGAGCCGGGCGCGGGGGCGCGAACGGCCUGGAAGGAGAGCUCAGUCCUCUUCCGGGGGGAGCCGGGGAGACUGAGAUACGGAAUGAAUGCGAGUGUUCCACGUUCUUUGCUAAACGUUGAGGAAUAAACGGUGAAAAGGCCAGAAAAGAUCUUUGCCCUCUCGGGGUUCCGGUCUAGUGAGGGACACCGACAUGCAGAUAAGUGACACAAACAUUAAUUUCAAGUAGUGACAAAUAUCAGAAAGAAAGGAACGGGUGAAACAAGAUUAGGAACGGAUUGUCAGAAAGGGCCUCUUCAAGGAGGGAAGUUCUAAACUGAGACUUGGAAAAGACAAGAAGCCAUUUUACUAGGAUUUGGGGGCAGAACUUCAUGCACAGGAAACAGAAUGAAUAAAGGCCCGGCCACCAGGAAGAGACUGAAAUGACACCUCUCUUGGGAGGGAAGGUAGGAGAUGACUGCAGGAGGGGAGGCUAGAAGGUGACCGUGCCCAGGACUGUGGUCUGAAGUUUCUCCUUGGCGUGUGGCAGAGGGUGGAGAAAGGAGGUUAUGAGGAUCGUUCACCCUUCCUCCUCUGGCCGCCCUGUGGCAUGUGGUCAGACACGAUCCCUUGCCUGGGUUGUAAAGACAGCACUCUGUGGCCUGCACCUCUGUCACCUCCUAGAGCACCUGUUUUUCUCUUCUCAACUAACAAAGUUCUGGACUAGUCAUGAAGAUUAGUACUACAGUCCCCACAGGCCACUGACCAGAACAAGUUUGGCUCAAAUCUUAAGGAGAAAAUGGAAAAAAGGCCUGGAGGGCCUAAAUCCUGCACCCUCUUAAGUACCCCACACUCCUGUGGGCAUGCCCAGGUGACAGGUUCCUGGCGAUGCUGAACUCCCUGGGACUAAACCACUCGUUACUGAGCACUUCUUGUGUGUUAAAAGUUAGUGCUGGGCUAAGUGGUCUUACAUAUAUAUUCUCUUACUUAUUUGAUCCUUUCACAAUCUUAGGAGGUAGUGAAUCAGUUAGGAUUCAGUUCAACUACAAAUAACGGAUCCAAAAGAGCAGGAUCUUAACCAAGAUGUAAGUGUAUUUCUCACGAUAACAUGCGCAGGUGGGCUGGAGGUAGGCAGCCUACGUCAGGACGAGUGUGGCGGGCCUAGCCUGCAGAGCCAGCAGGGACCCAGGCCCCCAUCUCACCAUCCCAAAACAAGGAGUCUCAUCUCACCGCCAGUAAAGUCUCCUCUCACCAUCCCCAAACAAGGAGUAGCAUUGAACCAUACGUGCUCAUGUUUAAAUGUUUUUAUGUAUGUUUUUGAAAGACAGCAGGCAAGUGGGGGUGGGGCAGAGAGGGAGGGAGACAGGAUCCGAAGUGGGCUGUGCACCGAUAGCAGAGAACCUGAUGCCAGCCUUGAAACCACCAGCCGUGAGAUCGUGACCUGAACUGGAGGCAGACACUUAACCGACUGAGGCCCCCAGGCGCCCCAAUACAUGCUAAUUUAAACAUUUUUUAUCAAAUGGGAAUACCAUGUACAAAUUGCAGAUGAAAGGAAUGAUUUCCUAGAGAAAUUGUAAAAACUGUCAAAAUUGAGGCAGGAAGACAUGGAAAUUCUGAAUAGCCAGUAUCCUAUAGGGGAAAUAAUAAAAAUAAAUAUUUUUAUUUGUAUCUCUUUAA
Long non-coding RNA from Felis catus (domestic cat), 4679 nucleotides. RefSeq lists it as uncharacterized. The transcript is spliced from 2 exons. NCBI's taxonomy places the organism in Eukaryota, Metazoa, Chordata, Mammalia, Carnivora, Felidae. The record is from RefSeq and is a predicted model, not a curated record.